AGCGAACGUUUGCGGCGGGCUUAACACAUGCAAGUCGAACGGGCUGUUCCUUCGGGGGCAGUCAGUGGCGCACGGGUGCGUAACACGUAGGUAAUCAACCCUCUGGUUGGGGAUAACACUUCGAAAGGAGUGCUAAUACCCGGUAUGGCGCAGCGGUCUUCGGAUUGCGGCGAGAAAGACCCGCAAGGGUUGCCAGAGGACGAGCCUGCGGCCCAUCAGCUAGUUGGCGAGGUAACGGCUCACCAAGGCGAAGACGGGUAGCUGGUCUGAGAGGAUGAUCAGCCACACUGGAACUGAGACACGGUCCAGACUCCUACGGGAGGCAGCAGUGGGGAAUAUUGCGCAAUGGGCGAAAGCCUGACGCAGCCACGCCGCGUGAGCGAUGAAGGCCUCGGGUCGUAAAGACUCUGUGGGGAGGAGAAGAAUAAAGACCUGUGAAGAGCAGGCCUUGACGGUAGUCUCCUUAG
Molecule: ribosomal RNA, 467 nt
Filed under: uncultured bacterium
Lineage: Bacteria
Description: bacterial SSU rRNA
Rfam family: Bacterial small subunit ribosomal RNA
Source: RNAcentral